CGGCACGGGUGAGUAACACGUAUCCAACCUGCCGUCUACUCUUGGCCAGCCUUCUGAAAGGAAGAUUAAUCCAGGAUGGCAUCAUGAGUUCACAUGUCCGCAUGAUUAAAGGUAUUUUCCGGUAGACGAUGGGGAUGCGUUCCAUUAGAUAGUCGGCGGGGUAACGGCCCACCUAGUCAACGAUGGAUAGGGGUUCUGAGAGGAAGGUCCCCCACAUUGGAACUGAGACACGGUCCAA
RNAcentral lists this ribosomal RNA (238 nucleotides) under uncultured bacterium. RNAcentral's name for it is "partial 16S ribosomal RNA". It matches the Rfam family "Bacterial small subunit ribosomal RNA", at positions 100 to 334 of the family's 1533-position model. The record is from RNAcentral.